RNAcentral lists this ribosomal RNA (2812 nucleotides) under Salmonella enterica. Its description in RNAcentral is "bacterial LSU rRNA". It matches the Rfam family "Bacterial large subunit ribosomal RNA". The record is from RNAcentral. Lineage: Bacteria; Pseudomonadati; Pseudomonadota; Gammaproteobacteria; Enterobacterales; Enterobacteriaceae.
GCGACUAAGCGUACACGGUGGAUGCCCCGCAGUCAGAGGCGAUGAAGGGCGUGCUAAUCUGCGAUAAGCGCCGGUAAGGUGAUAUGAACCGUUAUAACCGGCGAUACCCGAAUGGGGACCCAGUGUGUUUCGACACACUAUCAUUAACUGAAUCCAUAGGUUAAUGAGGCGAACCGGGGAACUGAAACAUCUAAGUACCCCGAGGAAAAGAAAUCAACCCCCAGUAGCGGCGAGCGAACGGGGAGGAGCCCAGAGCCUGAAUCAGCAUGUGUUAGUGGAAGCGUCUGGAAAGGCGCGCGAUACAGGGUGACAGCCCCGUACACAAAAGCGCAUGUGCUGUGAGCUCGAUGAGUAGGGCGGGACACGUGGUAUCCUGUCUGAAUAUGGGGGACCAUCCUCCGCUAAAUACUCCUGACUGACCGAUAGUGAACCAGUACCGUGAGGGAAAGGCGAAAAGAACCCCGGCGAGGGAGUGAAAAGAACCUGAAACCGUGUACGUACAAGCAGUGGGAGCACCUUGGGGUGUGACUGCGUACCUUUGUAUAAUGGGUCAGCGACUUAUAUUCUGUAGCAAGGUUAACCGAAUAGGGGAGCCGGAGGAACCGAGUCAAUUGGGCGUUAAGUUGCAGGGUAUAGACCCGAAACCCGGUGAUUCAGCCAUGGGCAGGUUGAAGGUUGGGUAACACUAACUGGAGGACCGACUAAUGUUGAAAAUUAGCGGAUGACCUGUGGCUGGGGUGAAAGGCCAAUCAAACCGGGAGAUAGCUGGUUCUCCCGAAAGCUAUUUAGGUAGCGCCUGAAUUCAUCUCCGGGGUAGAGCACUGUUUCGGCUAGGGGCCAUCCCGGCUUACCAACCCGAUGCAAACUGCGAAUACCAAGAAUGACACACGGCGGGUGCUAACGUCCGUCGUGAAGAGGGAAACAACCCAGACCGCCAGCUAAGGUCCCAAAGUCAUGGUUAAGUGGGAAACGAUGUGGGAAGGCCCAGACAGCCGUGAUGUUGGCGAAGCAGCCAUCAUUUAAAGAAAGCGUAAUAGCUCACUGGUCGAGUCGGCCUGCGCGGAAGAUGUAACGGGCUAAACCAUGCACCGAAGCUGCGGCAGCGACGCUGAUGCGUUGUUGGGGGGAGCGUUCUGUAAGCCCGUGAAGGUGGCCUGUGAGGGUUGCUGGAGGUAUCAGAAGUGCGAAUGCUGACAUAAGUAACGAUAAAGGGUGAAAAGCCCGCUCGCCGGAAGACCAAGGGUUCCUGUCCAACGUUAAUCGGGCAGGUGAGUCGACCCGCGAGGCCGAAAGGCGUAGUCGAUGGGAAACGGGUUAAUAUUCCCGUACUUGGUGUUACUGCGAAGGGGGACGGAGAAGGCUAUGUUGGCCGGGCGACGGUUGUCCCGGUUUAAGCGUGUAGGUGUGUUCCGUGUAAAUCCGGUUCACUUUAACACUGAGGCGUGAUGACGAGGCACUACGGUGCUGAAGCAACAAAUGCCCUGCUUCCGUGAAAGCCUCUAAGCAUCAGGUAACAUCAAAUCGUACCCCAAACCGACACAGGUGGUCAGGUAGAGAAUACCAAGGCGCUUGAGAGAACUCGGGUGAAGGAACUAGGCAAAAUGGUGCCGUAACUUCGGGAGAAGGCACGCUGACACGUAGGUGAAGUGAUUUACUCAUGGAGCUGAAGUCAGUCGAAGAUACCAGCUGGCUGCAACUGUUUAUUAAAAACACAGCACUGUGCAAACACGAAAGUGGACGUAUACGGUGUGACGCCUGCCCGGUGCCGGAAGGUUAAUUGAUGGGGUCAGCGCAAGCGAAGCUCCUGAUCGAAGCCCCGGUAAACGGCGGCCGUAACUAUAACGGUCCUAAGGUAGCGAAAUUCCUUGUCGGGUAAGUUCCGACCUGCACGAAUGGCGUAAUGAUGGCUGGCUGUCUCCACCCGAGACUCAGUGAAAUUGAACUCGCUGUGAAGUGUACCCGCGGCAAGACGGAAAGACCCGUGAACCUUUACUAUAGCUUGACACUGAACAUUGAGCCUGAUGUAGGAUAGGUGGGAGGCUUUGAAGUGUGGACGCCAGUCUGCAUGGAGCCGACCUUGAAAUACCACCCUUAAUGUUUGAUGUUCUAACGUGGACCCGUGAUCCGGGUUGCACAGUGUCUGGUGGGUAGUUUGAUGGGGCGGUCUCCUCCAAAGAGUAACGGAGGAGCACGAAGGUUGGCUAAUCUCGGUCGGACAUCAGGAGGUUAGUGCAAUGGCAUAAGCCAGCUUGACUGCGAGCGUGACGGCGCGAGCAGGGCGAAAGCAGGUCAUAGUGAUCCGGUGGUUCUGAAUGGAAGGGCCAUCGCUCAACGGAUAAAAGGUACCCGGGGAUAACAGGCUGAUACCGCCCAAGAGUUCAUAUCGACGGCGGUGUUUGGCACCUCGAUGUCGGCUCAUCACAUCCGGGCUGAAGUAGGUCCCAGGGUAUGGCUGUUCGCCAUUUAAAGUGGUACGCGAGCUGGGUUUAGAACGUCGUGAGACAGUUCGGUCCCUAUUCGCCGUGGGCGCUGGAGAACUGAGGGGCUGCCUGAGUGAGAGGACCGGGUGGACGCAUCACUGGUGUUCGGGUUGUCAUGCCAAUGGCACUGCCCGGUAGCUAAAUGCGGAAGAGAUAAGUGCUGAAAGCAUCUAAGCACGAAACUUGCCCCGAGAUGAGUUCUCCCUGAGACUUUAGGUCUCCUGAAGGAACGUUGAAGACGACGACGUUGAUAGGCCGGGUGUGUAAGCGCAGCGAUGCGUUGAGCUAACCGGUACUAAUGAACCGUGAGGCUUAACCUUACAACGCCGAAG